UACAGAGGCCACAAGCGUUAGGCGGAAUCACUGGGCUUAAAGCGUGUGUAGGCGGGUUGGUAAGUAUCUUGUGAAAUCCCACGGCUUAACCGUGGAAUUGCUGGGUAUACUGCCGAUCUUGAGUCAUCUAGAGGUAACCGGAACAGAUGGUGGAGCGGUGAAAUGCAUAGAUAUCAUCUGGAACGCCAAUGGUGCAGACAGGUUACUGGGGAUGUACUGACGCUGAGGCACGAAAGCCAGGGGAGCGAACAGG
Molecule: ribosomal RNA, 253 nt
Filed under: uncultured bacterium
Lineage: Bacteria
Description: partial 16S ribosomal RNA
Rfam family: Bacterial small subunit ribosomal RNA
Source: RNAcentral